GUUCCUUGAUCCUGUAGUUGAUGUUGUAUCGCCGUCGUCUUUCAACUGGCAAUUGAGAGAACAAAGACUCUGGUGUCGUGUUCUGUAAGAGAAGAAAAGAUGGGAAUGUUAUUGCAGAAACUAAUAAAUGUAUAUCCAAAGCACAGGUCCUGCUCGGACAGGCGUCUGUGCCCUUCUGUGCUCCGUACCUGUGACUUCCAUUUUAACUGAGAGCUUUGUGGGCAAUGAGGGUGUCAGUCCACCGUGAGG
Molecule: long non-coding RNA, 249 nt
Organism: Sinocyclocheilus rhinocerous
Lineage: Eukaryota; Metazoa; Chordata; Actinopteri; Cypriniformes; Cyprinidae
Exons: 3
Source: RefSeq, a predicted model, not a curated record